RNAcentral lists this long non-coding RNA (492 nucleotides) under Physcomitrium patens. Its description in RNAcentral is "long non-coding RNA (PPAT_LNC014275)". Lineage: Eukaryota; Viridiplantae; Streptophyta; Bryopsida; Funariales; Funariaceae. The record is from RNAcentral.
AACAAUGUUCUAAUUAGACUAUAAUAAUGGUAAACAAAUGUAAUCAAAUUCAAAAAAAUUCAAAGAAAUUUCAAACAAACAAUAAAAUUCUUAAAGAAAUAUUAGAAUAAACUCAAAUAUUACUCAAAUAUAUGUCAAUUCAACCUUAAUUUAAUUCUAGUUAAAACCCUAUUGAAUUUCACUCAAACUUUCGACCAAACCUAAUUAAAUCUUAAAUCCUAAUAAAUCCUAAAACCUAAGUCAAAUCCUAAAAAAACCUUAAAUUAAAUCCUAAAUCAAACCCUAUUUCAAACCCUAAAUCCUAAACCAAAUCCUAAAUCAAACCCUAACCAAAUCCUAAACCCUAAUCCAAACCCUAAAUCAAAUCCUAAUUCAACCCUAAAUCCUAAUCCAAAUCCUAAAUCAAAUCUUAAUCCAACCCUAAAUCCUAAUCCAAACCCUAAAUCAAACCCUAAUCCAAACCCUAAAUUCUAAAUCAAACCCUAAAUCGAA